UUCACAUCGAGGUUGUUUUUUUCCCUUCCGUUUCAUUUCUUCCACUUUUUUUUUUUGGUGGUUGUUCUGCAUUUGUUGUCUUGUUUUUCAUUUUCAUCUCUCUCAGUUUUCUUCUUCUCCCUUUCGUUUUUGCAUUUCCGUUAGCACGGCUUCCCUUCUCUCAUCUUAUUUUUCUCUUCUUGUGUUUAUUUUGUUUAUUUUUUUUAAGUUUAGAUAUAUAUUGUUGUUUAUGGUUUUUUGCGUUUCUUCCUUGCUUUUUCUCCGUUUAGAUCUAUAGAUCUAUAUUGUUUGUAGUUGUUUAUAUACAUGGAGAUUUCUUGCGUGCGAGUUCAUUUCAUUUUCAUAUCUGUACAAUUAUUUUUUUCCUUGCAUUUCUUCUAUUUUUUUCUUAUUGUUUGGUGUUUGAUGUAUAUUAGUUUUAGAUCUAAAAAUUUUUCUUGCGUUCCAACUUUGCAAUUUUCAGAUCUGUAUAAUAAAACUUUUUUUUUCGAGAUCUGUGUUUCUAGGGUUUUUUCAUUUCAUUUGUGUUUGGUUUUUCUUUGUUUUUUUAUUUUUGUUUUGUUGUUAUUUUUCAGAUCUGUGUAAUGAAAAAAAAGGUUUUUUUUUUUCCAGAUCUGUAUUUCUACGGUUUUUUCAUUUCACAUCGAGGUUGUUUUUUUCCCUUCCGUUUCAUUUCUUCCACUUUUUUUUAGUGGUUGUUUUGCGUUUGUUGUCUUGUUUUUCAUUUUCAUCUCUCUCAGUUUUCUUCUUCUCCCUUUCGUUUUUGCAUUUCCGUUAGCACGGCUUCCCUUCUCUCUUCUUAGUUUUCUCUUCUUGUAUUUAUUUUGUUUAUUUUUUUUUAGUUUAGAUAUAUAUUGUUGUUUAUGGUUUUUUGCAUUUCUUCCUUGCGUUUUCUCCGUUUAGAUCUAUAGAUCUAUAUUGUUUGUAGUUGUUUAUAUACAUAGAGAUUUCUUGCAUGCGAAUUCAUUUCAUUUUUAUAUCUGUACAUUUUUUUUUACUUGCGUUUCUUCUAUUUUUUUUUCUUGUUGUUUGGUGUUUGAUGUAUAUUAGUUUUAUACCUUUCAGAUUUGUAGGUUUUUUUUUUUUUUUUUUUUUUUUUUCUGCAUUUGUUGUCUUGUUUUUCAUAUCUGUCUUGCGAUUGAUAUAUUAGGUCUGUAUUUUUGGGAUCAGUAUUCGCAUGCUUUUUCUAUUUUCCAUUAAACUUUUUUUACUCUUCCGUUGCAUUUCUUGUGAUCUGUUUAGAUUAUCCGAACUCGAUUUGCUUAUAGCAUUUGAUGUCUUUGUAGAUGAUGGGUUUUUAAAUAAUAAUUGUUGAUGGGUUUGUUUAUCUGUUUUGUAAUCUUGAUGGAGGUGUUCUAAUUUCAUAUAUUUGUAAUGCUUUCCCUCUUGUGUAAUCUUACAUGAACUAUUUCUUGCUUAUAAUCAAGUUUUUUUUUUUUUUUUGGGUUUGAUUUGUUCUACUCUUUCGUUUCUUGUUUUUCAAAUUUUGAUUUAUAUGACUUUUGUACUUUUCAGAUCUAUUAAACAAAAAAUUCCACUUGGGAUUUGUUUUCCUAUACGUUUCUCCCCCACCAACGUAUCUUUACUUAGUAGAUGCGACCAAAUUAGAAGAUGAAUUUGUAUGAAGAGUUUGAUUUUUUUGUUGGCUUUACCUUCUGUAUUUUCAGAUGUAUAUGCAUAUCAUCUAAUUAGUUACUGUAACAAAUUUAUUCAUAGAAUACAAUUCAUUCUUACAGUACUAAGAGAGGGAAUAAGAACAUACCUAGAACUGCUGAGAUUCA
Molecule: long non-coding RNA, 1781 nt
Organism: Carya illinoinensis
Lineage: Eukaryota; Viridiplantae; Streptophyta; Magnoliopsida; Fagales; Juglandaceae
Exons: 2
Source: RefSeq, a predicted model, not a curated record